AUCUAAAUAGUUUAAUAAAAAUUUUAAUUUGUGGGAUUAAAGAUAUAGCUUAUUUGUUAUUUUAGAUA
RNAcentral lists this transfer RNA (68 nucleotides) under Sphenophorus sp. BYU-CO246. Its description in RNAcentral is "tRNA-His". The record is from RNAcentral. Lineage: Eukaryota; Metazoa; Arthropoda; Insecta; Coleoptera; Curculionidae.